This 305-nucleotide ribosomal RNA is filed under the name uncultured bacterium. RNAcentral's name for it is "partial 16S ribosomal RNA". It matches the Rfam family "Bacterial small subunit ribosomal RNA", at positions 508 to 809 of the family's 1533-position model. The record is from RNAcentral.
ACAGCAGCCGCCGCGGGAAUACGUAGGUGGCAAGCGUUGUCCGGAAUUAUUGGGCGUAAAGGGCUCGCAGGCGGUUUCUUAAGUCUGAUGUGAAAGCCCCCGGCUCAACCGGGGAGGGUCAUUGGAAACUGGGAAACUUGAGUGCAGAAGAGGAGAGUGGAAUUCCACGUGUAGCGGUGAAAUGCGUAGAGAUGUGGAGGAACACCAGUGGCGAAGGCGACUCUCUGGUCUGUAACUGACGCUGAGGAGCGAAAGCGUGGGGAGCGAACAGGAUUAGAUACCCGAGUAGUCCCUGUCUCUUAUAU